AAUGCCUCAGCUUGCUCCUCUGUAGCAUUACAUGUCUUGUGAGCAAGCACUUGGGGACAUUUUUAACAUCCACUGGCACCUGGUAUUUGCCAAGCUUUUUACAUCCACCAACUAUAAUCCUUGAAACAGGCUGUCAAGGAGUUUAACUGUGUACACACCUGACACCUGGAACUGAUGUCCUGGACCAUAGAGUAUGCUGAGAUUAUAGGUGUGUGCCACCACCCACAGCCACUAUCAUGGAUGCUUUAUAUUUACCCUUGUAAGAGAUUCCAGGAGUUUGCAAAUUCUGACAAGGUAUGAUGAAGGCUUCCUGGGUGGUGUCCUACAAAUGGUAGUGAAUACAAUUCUGCUAGCAGUUGUCCUGACUUCCACUUCACAUGGUAUUUAGUAGUGUUUCUCCAGAGUUCUCUAGUUUCUGAAUGUUGCUUGCUACUCCUCCUAUGUUCUCUCUCACAUAGAAUCAUUUUUCAAGCUUUUUGACUACCUUGCAGUCCCCUGCUCUGGUUACAGGAUCAUGCCUCAACUGGAUAUGGUUACACAUCCAUGUCUCUGGUCACUGGCUGCUGGUAAGGAAUGCUCCUCAGGACACUACCAGCUUUCCUGUUCUUCCAGGCUAACAUUUCCUGCUUGCUGGCCCACCUUGCUUGGGUUGGGUACAGAAAUCUCUAGUGGUUUCUGUUGUUACCACUUUGUCCUUCUCUGCUGAGACCUGUUGCCUUUCCUGCUCAUCUGUGCAUUUUAAGAUACAGGGACCAGCAGCCUUUUCCAGCAAUGGUGGCACCAGCGUGCCUCUCCAGGUGCAGAGAUUCGCACUCUGUCCUAUGCUCAGCCCACAUGACUGUUAGUGAAGAAAGCAGAGGAACUGGUAUCAGGGUUGAGAAACUGACUCUCCUACCUCCUUUUUUUUUUUGGUACCGGGAAUCAAACUCGAGACCUUGCACUUGUGAGGCAGGCAGCGAAACCACUGAGCUAAAUCCCUGGCCCCCUACCUUCUUUUUUGCUUUUUAUUAGAAGUGUCCAUAAAGUGCUAUUUAUUAUCUAAUGGAGCUUUAUGAAACUCAGUGAAUUAGACCUUUUCUUUCUAAGUUAAUGUACAAUUUUUGCCUUUACUCUAUUGGGAAGAAAAAAAAUCUAAUAAUAGUGGAGAAAGAGCAGAUAGCUGAUGAAGAAAACUCUUAAGAGACAGGAUGGUUAAGGUCCAGAAAAGGUUAAUUUUGAACAAAAGGGAUCUUUCUGAAUGUCAUCUUUCUGAAAGGAGAUUUCCAUUUCAGUUAGGCACAUGAGCGAGAG
RNAcentral lists this long non-coding RNA (1290 nucleotides) under Heterocephalus glaber (naked mole-rat). RNAcentral's name for it is "lncRNA (ENSHGLG00000037284.1)". The record is from RNAcentral. Lineage: Eukaryota; Metazoa; Chordata; Mammalia; Rodentia; Bathyergidae.